This 1080-nucleotide long non-coding RNA is filed under the name Heterocephalus glaber (naked mole-rat). Its description in RNAcentral is "lncRNA (ENSHGLG00000033787.1)". The record is from RNAcentral. Lineage: Eukaryota; Metazoa; Chordata; Mammalia; Rodentia; Bathyergidae.
CAAUGGGGGAGAGGGUGCUAAUUAUCAUAGAAGAAAAAUGGGAAAGUUUGUGGGAUUUCAAAACUGUCAUCAUAAACCCAAAGCUACUUGAAACCACUGAAGGGUUUUAUGCAAGUGAAAGCAAAGUAAGCUUCAUUUUUUUGUAAAGAUCACACUGGCUGUGGUGAGGCUGGAAUGGAGGUGCAAAGGUGGAAGCGGAAAGGGUUUUAGAUUCCAGCAAAUUGCAACUUCUCCCAGCUACCUAAGAGUCCCCCGGAAAUGCUUGAUAAACCACAGCAGGAAAUCUUUAAAUGCAGGAAAGUCUAAGAAUCCUCCAAAGACGGGAGGAAACAGGAAAACGGGGCUCAGUGGGUGGUGGACACCCAGCUUGAGGGAAAGCUCUCCCAACCCCAGGUACCAAGGGACUUGGGUUAUGGUGGUCACAAGGGGAAGGGGCCAGGCCUGCGCUGAGCAGGGACUGGACAAUGUGCCCGUCACUGUGGAGAGUGCGUAAGGGUGCGGCACGCCUGGGCCUGCCCUCUGGUGGAGAGAAGGCUUUUGUAAACCUAGGUAUUUUCUUGGGUCUGGGUUAAAAUCCAUUCCACUGCUGGGUCUUGAAAUCCCAAGCUGAUAACUCUGAAAACACUUCCAGGCUUGUCCUACCUCAAGGUCCCUAGAAACACUGCCACAGCUUCUCAGGGGAGACCCCAGGAUGCACAGCACCCCUUGGAAAAGCCCCAGAGUCACAGCUCUUCUCCCUGUGAGGACCGUGUGGAGAUUCCAGUGCCCACCGCCACCAGGCCUUCCCAAGCUGUCCAACCUGUCCCAUCCUGGGGUCCUCUUCCUCCGAGUGCACAGUGUCUCGUGAUGCGGACCUCUGCCUCCCACUGCCCAGUUUGGGGUCCCAGGGGCAGUUCCCCUGCGGGUGUCGGGGUCCUGCAGGCUGUCCGGCCCCCGGCACAAUGCCCCUCCUAGUUGGGCGGGCACAGGGCAGGCAGGAGCCGCCUCGGGAAGGCUUUAUUCCCAGCUGUGGCAGCAGAUGCAAUGCAGGGGAGCCAGAGCACCUCCCGCUGCACACCAGGCCCCAGGUGUGACUCUGAC